RNAcentral lists this ribosomal RNA (253 nucleotides) under uncultured bacterium. RNAcentral describes it as "partial 16S ribosomal RNA". It matches the Rfam family "Bacterial small subunit ribosomal RNA", at positions 524 to 776 of the family's 1533-position model. The record is from RNAcentral.
UACGUAGGGGGCAAGCGUUGUCCGGAGUUACUGGGCGUAAAGCGCGCGCAGGUGGUUCCCUAAGCCCGGCGUGAAAGCCCCCGGCUCAACCGGGGAGGGUCGUCGGGGACUGGUGAACUUGAGGGCGGCAGGGGCUGGUGGAAUCCCCGGUGUAGUGGUGAAAUGCGUAGAGAUCGGGGGGAACACCCGUGGCGAAGGCGGCCAGCUGGGCCGACCCUGACACUGAGGCGCGAAGGCGUGGGGAGCGAACAGG